RNAcentral lists this ribosomal RNA (736 nucleotides) under uncultured Sphingosinicella sp. RNAcentral's name for it is "bacterial SSU rRNA". It matches the Rfam family "Bacterial small subunit ribosomal RNA", at positions 770 to 1502 of the family's 1533-position model. Lineage: Bacteria; Pseudomonadati; Pseudomonadota; Alphaproteobacteria; Sphingomonadales; Sphingosinicellaceae. The record is from RNAcentral.
UAACCGGAUUAGAUACCCUGGUAGUACACGCAGUAAACGAUGAGAACUAGCUGUCCGGGCACAUGGUGUUUCGGUGGCGCAGCUAACGCAUUAAGUUGUCCGCAUGGGGAGUACGGUCGCAAGAUUAAAACUCAAAGGAAUUGACGGGGGCGUGCACAAGCGGUGGAGCAUGUGGUUUAAUUCGAAGCAACGCGCAGAACCUUACCAGCCUUUGACUUCCUGGUCGUGGAUUAGAGAGAUAUUUUCCUUCAGUUCGGCUGGACCAGUGACAGGUGCUGCAUGGCUGUCGUCAGCUCGUGUCUUGAGAUGUUGGGUUAAGUCCCGCAACGAGCGCAACCUUCGUCUUUAGUUGCCAUCAUUCAGUUGGGAACUCUAAGGAAACCGCCGGUGAUAAGCCGGAGGAAGGUGGGGAUGACGUCAAGUCCUCAUGGCCCUUACAGGCUGGGCUACACACGUGCUACAAUGGCGGUGACAGUGGGCAGCUAUCCCGCAAGGGUGAGCUAAUCUCCAAAAGCCGUCUCAGUUCGGAUUGUCCUUUGCAACUCGAGGGCAUGAAGGCGGAAUCGCUAGUAAUCGCGGAUCAGCAUGCCGCGGUGAAUACGUUCCCAGGCCUUGUACACACCGCCCGUCACGCCAUGGGAGUUGGUUUCACCCGAAGAUGGUGCGCUAACCCGCAAGGGAGGCAGCCAGCCACGGUGGGAUCAGCGACUGGGGUGAAGUCGUAACAAGGUAACCA